RNAcentral lists this long non-coding RNA (415 nucleotides) under Brachypodium distachyon (stiff brome). Its description in RNAcentral is "long non-coding RNA (BDIS_LNC001057)". The record is from RNAcentral. Lineage: Eukaryota; Viridiplantae; Streptophyta; Magnoliopsida; Poales; Poaceae.
AAUAGACAUGAGCAACAUGGACAACUUGACCUCUCCCUAUCCUGGUUUUCAGUACGACAAUGACGCAAAUGGCCGUGCAGCCUACGCUGCGUCGCUGCCAUGGUGUCGCCUACUUAGACGUAGUCAUCCAAAGAGGAAAAAUAGAUCGGCUCACGAAUUCAACCUGCAAGCGCGUAGAUCGAGAAGUGCUUUCAACACGAUAAAUCCAAGGUUUCAACUCCAGAUCCCAGAAUUUCUACCUAGAUGGGGAAAACCCCGCGGUACGGUCUCGCUACGCCGACAAACACUCGACCGAUGGGGCGCCAGAAUGUGGGGGCGGAGCCGGCGGCUGGGUUGUCCAUGGCCACCCGCCGGGCGCCCGGACCCCGGAGUUGCUUGUGCAUUGGAACCGUCGAUCUAAUGGGGACAGCCAUGG